UACGGAGGGUGCAAGCGUUAUCCGGAUUUACUGGGCUUAAAGGGUGUGUAGGCGGGCUGUUAAGUCAGUGGUGAAAUCUCCGGGCUCAACCCGGAAACUGCCAUUGAUACUAAUGGUCUUGAAUUUUGUUGAGGUAGGCGGAAUAAGUCAUGUAGCGGUGAAAUGCAUAGAUAUGACUUAGAACGCCAAUUGCGAAGGCAGCUUGCUAAACAAAUAUUGACGCUGAGGCACGAAAGCGUGGGGAUCAAACAGG
Molecule: ribosomal RNA, 253 nt
Filed under: uncultured bacterium
Lineage: Bacteria
Description: partial 16S ribosomal RNA
Rfam family: Bacterial small subunit ribosomal RNA
Source: RNAcentral